CCUUCACCUUCCCCUUCUUCACAAAGAGGCAUUUGCAGUUUGUCUGAUGAGGGGAUGAACCUCAUGGCCACAACAGCUGUGCUGCACCGUGGUAGCAGCCUCCCCAGAGCCUCCUCUAGCACCAGCCUGCUCCCCACCCACCCAGCUUGCUCCUCACUCACCCAGCCUGCUCCUCACCCAGGCACCCUUUCUCCUCAGCCAGCCUUCCCCCCUCCUUUUCUUUCUUUCCCCACAGUCCAAGUUAACCUCCCUGGAGCUGAUGGAGGCCAGGUGCUUGUUGGGGCAACCAGGGAGUUUUGUACUAGGACUAGCCCUGCCAUCCAGUCAGUAGUAAUUAAAAGUAUCAAGAGGUUUAGGAAGUAGCCAAUCUAUUGAAAGCCAAAAGCUGGAAGAUAAGCAGCUGUCCUGUUUCUUAUGCUGUCUUUCCUUAGGCUCUGCUCUCGGCUGAUGGAGACAAUAACUAUCCAGACCUUCAGGUCUAACCUGCCUUGGUGCCUUUCCCACCUGUCUUAUGAAUGCAGUGUGCACAGUACCCAUUACUAAAUACUGCAUUCUAUAACAUGGGCACCAAACAUACAGAAUCUGUCCCCCAGGCUGGGAAUACAUUUGUCACUGUGAACCAAUUGCCAUUUCACAGUGGCACCAUGGAGGAGGAUGACAAGGAAUCAAGAGUUAAGGAGCAAAAGAAAAAUGUUUGAAGCAAGUUUCAACAGUUAUGACGACAAGGAAAAAGAAUUGAUGAUAUGGGUGCCCAUCACCUGGGAAGGAACACCCUUACCCCAUGAGCCGAUGCGAACACAGACCCCAGUGCCCUCACACCUUUCCCUUCCAGAUUCUGAUCCUACUUGUCUUUUUAAGGUAUUCUUUCUUGUAUUGCUUCUUUUGGUAAAAUGACUUUGGUCCCAGCUUGGUUCUGCAGCUAGUAGCAGAAUCAGUUUCAUUUUGUGAGGAAAGAAAAUGAUGGAAGCUCUGCAGCUGCUGGCAACACCACAAGAACACUGUCAGCAUCCAGGAACUUUCUUUUGCCCUUUGGCUGCCCACCUCAGAGUUAUAGGAUCGCACUUGCUAUUCAGAAGUAGAUUAAGCCUUCCUGGAAAUUAAUAGGUUUAACUGAGCACAAAUGACUUUGAAUCUGCCUUGUCCACCACAUCCCACAACCUGGGUCCUUUUGCCAGCCUUCCAGCCACUGAUCGCCUAGGUCAAAGCAGCUCCAGGGAAUGCUUAAUCCUGCUCUGGACAUGAGGGGCCUAUUUUCUCUUGGAAUUGAGUUUGAAGAGUUUGAACGAGCAGAAUGGACAACAAAUUAGGAAUGUAUCCUAGAGGAGUGUCUAACACAUUUGUUGCCUUCAUUUAACCAAAUGAUCGAGGAAUGACUGGAGCAUACAAAAUUCAGAAACCUUCUACACCUAAACAGGUAAGAUAGAUUUGAUGCCAAACUUUGGGUCAUGUUCCUUACAUCUUUAUGUCAUACUCAGAUUGUCUGACAUUUCUCCUUGUCACUUUGUUUUUUAAUCAUGUAAGAGUUUAGUUGACACAGGUGUAUACUGUAUCUUAGUUCAAUAUGUAAAUCCUGCAGCUUGAUGAAUUUGCUCACUACUGAACAACUCUUUGGAUAGCAUUGCCUAGAGGAAAGUGACAGAGUAUCAUAAGGCCAGCCAGCAGAAAAGAAGCGGAUCUGCUUUUCUAAGAAUACAACAAAUAAAGAUUUUUCCCUUACAAACAGCAAUGAAUACAUGUAGUGCUGUUCCAGCUGCAAGGAAUAGUGCCAUGGUCACAGAUUGCAUUUCUUCUGCCUCACUCACAUCUCAUCUCAUCUUAUCUCAUCUCCAAGAGAUCCAAUUUACAGGAGAUGAGAUAAAGUAGCCUCCAGGGUAUUACAUACAUCCCUUUCAUAAAUCAAGAACCACUUUUUGUUACUAGAGACCUGAGUUCAGAAAUAGAGGGAAACACAUGGCAUUAGGCAUUGUAAAUGGCCAAUUGGCAUGUCUCUGCAAUAGCUCUUUGCAGCUUUUGGCUGUUCCUCAAACCAGAAAGUAACUAUUUUUGUAUUGUGUAUUCUGAUGAAUCAAUACAGAAAAACUAAAAAAGUCGGUGAUUUCUGACUGAGAACUCAGAACUUUCUCCCCAGACACUAAAAUACAGCAUCAUUCCCUUUUAUAAUUGUUUUUUUUCCCCUAUGGCUACAGAAGAUACGCUCUGAUGGAUUAGCAGUAGACCGUGUAUGAUCCUUGCCACUGAUGUGGGUAGGGUUUUGCUGGUCACUCCUAAUCUUUCAGGAUCCUGCUGUUCUCCCACUUGCCAGUGGAGACAAUGUCUGUAGGUAGAUAAUUAGGCUCACACAAGUGGUUGAGGGAGGUUUAGUUAAUGCUGCUAAUUUGUGAUUGCUUAAUGGAAGUGCUGAGUAGGAGCAGUGGUUUACCAGCAGGACAGGGCCUUGCCAUUUGCCCUCGUGAAUGCACUCAGAGGUGGUACAGAAAUGUGCAACAAGGUGGAAGUCAAUCGUGUCCUCUGCAGGUAUUCCAUAAUAAUGCAUUUCCUGGCCAUGGAAAGUUGGGUCUCAUUUGA
Long non-coding RNA from Pseudopipra pipra, 2565 nucleotides. RefSeq lists it as uncharacterized. The transcript has 2 exons. Lineage: Eukaryota; Metazoa; Chordata; Aves; Passeriformes; Pipridae. The record is from RefSeq and is a predicted model, not a curated record.